AUUAGAGCACGAGUGAGGAGAGGUAGAGCAGACAAGCUGACUCCCAGUGAAUAGGGAGGCAGAUGUGGGACUUGAUCCCAGGACCCCAAGAUCAUGAUCUGAGCUAAAAGCAAAUGCUCAACUGACUGAGCUCCCAGGCACUCCUACCUACAUCUGUAAUUUUUAAAAGAUCUUUGGGGUGCCUGAGUGGCUCAGUUAAGCGUCCAACUCUUGAUUUCAGCUCCAGUCAUGAUCUCAGGGUCAUGGAAUUGAGCCCCAAGUUGAGCUCUGAGUUCAGGGAGUCAGCUUGAGAUUCUCUUCCCCAACCCCCCUCACGUGCACAUGUGCACUCUCUUUAAAUCUUUUAAUAAAAAGAUACAUCUUUGCCUAUAAUAAAGACUGCUUUUACCCAUUCUUGUACCCUUUGUCCAACUGGAUUGGCUGACCAAGUUAAAGCAUACUGACUGGGCUUCUCUGGUAUGCUAGAGAAGUACUGCUUCCACCAGUUGAGUUGUGUUUACAUCCUGUUAGCUGUUUGUUCCCAAACUUGUUUACGCUAGUGUCAGUCAUUUUAAUUAUAGAAUUUAAAUAUGACCUAAACCAAUGAUACACGAAUAUGAAAAAUUCUAAGUUGAGGGAAACCUUAAAGAUAGCUAAAAAAUAAGUCACUGACAAGACAGUCGUGUCCAAGAUAAUUGUAAAUGAUAGGGGAGGACUGCAAAAACAAAAUCUCAAAAAUACAGGCUCUCUGACUUGAUUGCUUCACUUGUUUAAGUUCUUGGUCCACUUAAAAAAAAUAAAGUAGGAAUAGUAGAUGAUGCAUUGUGCUUUUAGUUUAUGUGGGAGAAAUAGUGAGAAGCUCCAAUCAGUUGAUGUGUAUUUUAAAAGAUCUUCGCUCAAAAGAUUGCCAAUGUAAUCCUCACUUUAACUGCUGUUUUUUGUUUUUUAGGUCUAUAUGGAAAAAGAUUUGUUAUGUAUUUGAAAAGUAUUUACUUCUAAGAACCUGAUGAUAAUUCUUCCCUUUUCUUGUUCAUUUUUAUGAUAGCUUUUAAAUAUACAGAGGGAGAGGCUAUUAAUGAGCACUUUAUGCUCAUCACAGAUUUAUCAGUUACUAAAAUUUUGCCAUGUCUGUAUCAUCUUUUAAAAAGUUUUUUAAAAUUUCGCCUAUAAGCAUUGCAGUAUGUGUCGAUGAUGACUUAGUCUUUUAAACACAGCCACAUUGUGUUAACAUUCUUAGCAAAAUUAACAGCACUUCCUUAAUAUAAUCUAAUGGCUCUGUUCAUAUAAAAAUUUUGUCUCAAAAUUUAUUUUUUUUUAAGAGUGAGGGCAUGCAUUCAGAGGCAGAGGGAAAGGAUCUCAAGCAGACUCUACACUAAACAGGGAGCCUGAUACAUGCUCAGUCCCACAAUGCUAAGAUCAUCACCUGAGCCUAAAUCAAGAGUCUCACGCUCAUCCAACUGAGCCACCCAGGCGCCCCUCAAAAUGUCUUUUUAUGGUUGUUUUCUUCAAAUCAGGAUACAGGCAAGGUCUACACACUGCCUUUGGUUUUAGGUCUCUGAUUUUGUGGUAGUUCUCUCCCUCCCUCCUCUUUAAAUUCCAUUGAUAUACUGGGGCCUUUACCUCUUAGAAUAUCAUACAUUCUGAAUUUGGCUGAUUGCUUCUGUACAUACCCUUUGUUAAAUCUAGAGUUUUGAUUAAAUAAGCGCAGGUUCAAUUUUUAGGCAAGAAUCCUUCGCAAGUGGUGGUGUGUACUUUCUGCUGCAUCACAUCAUGGCAUACAGAGUGUCUCACCCCAGAUCAAUCAUAAGAUUGAUCAGCGGGGUGGGUUCAGGUGGUGUCAGCCUAAUCCACUUAUUAAUAAGUUCCCCAUCAAAAAAAUAAUAUAAAGUUAAAAAGUUCCUCAUCAAUAUUUCACCUAAAUUUUAACAUCUAUUGAUAAAUGUUGUUCCAUAUUUCAUCAGGAGUAGCAAAAUGGUAAUUGUUCUUUAAUUCAUUUAUUAGCUAGAAUUCUAAUUAGCAUGUUGGCUAACAGUUCAUGCAAGAAAGGAUAAAUGCUUGAUGUUUUUCCUUCAUCAAGUUUUACAAUAGAGAUUUGGUGCCCUGGCAAUCUUCAGUUAUGACUAGUGUGCUUCUCAUUUUUAAGAAAUUAUAAAAUCAAGAAUUUUUAUCUGUAGUGUUUCAAUCAAUAAGUUACUCAUUUUGAUGCUCACAUUUUCCCAUCUUUGGUCUGCCAAGUUAGCACUCGUGUCCAGUGAUCCCUUUAACCUUCCUUUGGGUGUUCUCUUUUUUAUGAAUCUACCAACUACUAGUUCUAAGUAUACAGAACUAGUUCUUUUUUUUUUUUUUUUUUUUUUUUUUUUUUAACAGAACUAGUUCUUAAGUAAUAAGAGGACUUGGACAAAAUAAGUUUGGAUCCCCGUACACGGAAAAUUUCUAAAAGGAAAAAUAAGAAACUGGUAUUAUAGGAAAUGCGGGGGG
RNAcentral lists this long non-coding RNA (2457 nucleotides) under Canis lupus familiaris (dog). Its description in RNAcentral is "lncRNA (ENSCAFG00845011129.1)". The record is from RNAcentral. Lineage: Eukaryota; Metazoa; Chordata; Mammalia; Carnivora; Canidae.